This 158-nucleotide ribosomal RNA is filed under the name Sinningia tuberosa. RNAcentral describes it as "5.8S ribosomal RNA". It matches the Rfam family "5.8S ribosomal RNA". From Rfam's summary of the family: 5.8S ribosomal RNA (5.8S rRNA) is a component of the large subunit of the eukaryotic ribosome. It is transcribed by RNA polymerase I as part of the 45S precursor that also contains 18S and 28S rRNA. The record is from RNAcentral. Lineage: Eukaryota; Viridiplantae; Streptophyta; Magnoliopsida; Lamiales; Gesneriaceae.
AAAUGACUCUCGGCAACGGAUAUCUCGGCUCUCGCAUCGAUGAAGAACGUAGCGAAAUGCGAUACUUGGUGUGAAUUGCAGAAUCCCGUGAACCAUCGAGUUUUUGAACGCAAGUUGCGCCCAAAGCCAUUAGGCUGAGGGCACGUCCGCCUGGGUGU